UUUCAUAUGAAAAAACAAUGGGAUAUUUUCACGUGUCUUUAAUGAUCUUAAUUUAAAAUUCGGAAAGGAUCCACAUGUUUUCUCCUUUUCUUUUCCGCGUGACCCUCUCUUUCCCUUCCUCUCUCUUUCCUUUCCGCGUGACCUCUCUCUUUCCUCUCUUUCCCUUUUCUUCUCAAUUAUUUUCCACAUCUCUCUCCUUCACAUACUCUCUCUCUCUCUCUCAUCUUCUCUCUUCUUCUCCCUCAAACCGAAGCUUUCACUUCUCCUCUGCAACCUAAGACAAAUCACCAAAGUCGACGAACCGACGUUCAAAUUACCACCAUCGUACUCCUUUCAUCCUCACGAACUCAACCAUAUAGACGGAAUCAAGAACAAGUGAGUUUUGGAAGUCGAACUCGGAAGCUCCGAUCGGUUCGAAAUUUUCCCGACGAAUUUCCGGGCUAGUUACAAGGUUUUGGAAGGUUUAGAAGUCACCACACAACUCCCCAAGGUCGCUAGUACAAGUUUGAAGACAAGCGAAUGUGAAAAAGCACGAGUUCGAAAAAUUAAAGUUUGUGCCGUGAGGUUCCAAGCCAUUUUCAAACAAUUUAUCCAUAAAUAUAAAUAUAUCGAAUGUAACAUUUCUAACACUAAAUAAAUAAUUUAGAAAUAAAAUUUAAUUAUCUUAAUAUGUAAAAUAUUUUAUUAUUGAAAUAAUUAAUGGUGUUUAUUAAAAUCAAGAGACCUUGAUUAAAAAUUAAAAAAGAAUAAGAUUUUAAUCAAUAGAGUUGAAAAAAAGAGAGAUGAAAACCUAAUUUCUUUUUUUAUUUUUAUAUUUUAUUUUUAAUGUUGUUAGGUGAGUUAACAGAAUUUAAAGGGAAGUUAGUGGUAAACAGGCGUCAAAAUAUGAGAGGCCACGUAAAAUUUUGAAUGCAAAAGAUUUGAACUCGAAAAGGAAGGUGAGGUGAGCAGGUAUGGGAUAAUAAAAGAAACGCGCUUGGAAGUAGGUUUGGUCACUUCUCUCUCUUAAAUACUAGUGUUUGUACCCGACCCCACCAUCCCCCAUUUUUUAAAAUUUAAUCAAAAAAUUUGAUGUGUGUGAGAAAUAAAACAAGAUGUCUAGAUAUCACAUUUCUAUUUCUUUUAUUUGGCCUUGUCUAAGUGCGCGGAGGGAGGUCCCAUCCCAUGUGUCCCUUCUAUGGCCAUUUACCAUUGCCGUCCACUAGCACUAGCAAACUUCCUCCAUCAGGAGGAAAUUCCAUCUCUCUCUCUUUUAAGUCCUCCACUAGGGAUAUACUAUAACCUUUCUUCCGUUUGAAUGCAGAUUGUUUCUGCGCUGAAAGUGCGCAAUUUCGUCUUUAUAUUUUUUUAUGUUUUGUGUUGUUUUAUCUCUGAUGACUCUCUUGGAACACGCGUACAUUUUAUUUUAUUUUUUUCCUAAAGGCAAAUCAGAUAUAUUAAAUUCGAAGAGAAAGGUUAGCAUCAUGGGUCAGGGUGUUAAACAAAAAUUCUGGCCCAAUACAAUCCCAAACAAACUCUCUACCCUCCUUAAAAACAAACUUGGCCACCGAGUGAGCAGCAGGAUUGCUCUCUCUAGGCGCGAAGAUGAAAGACACGGCAUACAUUUUAUUGAAAGAUGCUUUACAGAAAAUGCUUUUGGACAAACUUCUCUUUUAAUUAAGCAUAUUUAAAAGAAAAUUUUAAAGCAACAGCAUUAUCAAUUAUAGAGCAUUAUCAAUUUCACAAAGUGCCAUGGCUGAAUCACUGAAGCUUCUAAAUCACGUGCCGCGCAUGUACUUGUGAGAGAGGCCUUUCCCCUGUAUCUUUGACUGGGACCUUUGUCAACCCAUUGUCGCGGCUGGUGAUGCCGGUGAUGAGGGGGAUACGGUGUUCCGGUGUCUCGUUAGCGAAGUCGUUAGGGAUUAAGGAUAUUCAAUGUGAAGUGGGUUUCUCCCAAAACACAGCAGUUCAAAACGCAAAGUUCAAAUUGGAAGGGUGAGAGAGAAAGGAGGAGACGGAUGGUUGCGGUGCGAUGGAGGUGUUCUGGUUCUUCAAGUUCCAUAUUUGUUUUUAUUUUGGAUGAUUUUAGAUAUGAUCCCUAUUUAUCAACGUUUUAAACUUUAUUGUACUAUUUUCUAUUGAAAUUCUUGAAAUUAAUGUAAUAAUACAUUUUUACCUAGGUUAUUAUAAUUUUUAAAUUAAAAUUUGAUAUUUAUAAUUAUUUAUAUUAAUAAGAUUUUAAAUAAAAUUUAUAAUUUGUUGAAAAUAUUAAUAAAAAAAUUUAUAUUUAAAUAAAAUCUAUAAUUUAUCAUUACUUAUAUUAAUGACAUUUUAUACAUAAAUAAUUGGUAAUUUUAUACGAUACAUUUUAUAAACAAAAAGUUGGUAUAUUUUACAGAAAAAAAAGAUAAUACGGUACAUUUCAUAUAAAAAACAAUGGAAAACUAAUGAAAAAGGCUUGAAAAUUUUGAGUUUUAAUGAUAAAUACAAAAUAAAGGGUGAAGUGAAUAGGACUAGGAUUAACUUUUUAGUAUAAAAAUAUGAUUUUUCGUUAAAGUAAAUAGUACAAGAUGCUUUUCGUUAAAGUUUCCAAAAAAAACAAUGGCAUGUUUUCACGUGUCUUUACAGUGAUCCUAAUUUAAAAUUCAGAAAGAACCCACAUGUUUUCUCCUUUUCUUUUCCGCGUGACCCCUGUCUGUCCUUUCUCUUUCCUUUCCGCGUGACCUCUGUCUUUCCUUUCUCUUUCCUUUUUCUUCUCAAUUAUUUUCUGUCUCGAUCUCUCUCAAUUAUUUUCCACAUCUCUCUCCUUCACAUACUCUCUCUCUCUCAUCUUCUCUCUUCUUCUCCCUCAAACCGAAGCUCUCACUUCUCCUCUGCAACCUAAGACAAAUCACCAAAGUCGACGAACCGACGUUCAAAUUACCACCAUCGUACUCCUUUCAUCCUCACUAACUCAACCAUAUAAACGG
This 2948-nucleotide long non-coding RNA is filed under the name Malus domestica (apple). RNAcentral's name for it is "long non-coding RNA (MDOM_LNC004920)". The record is from RNAcentral. Lineage: Eukaryota; Viridiplantae; Streptophyta; Magnoliopsida; Rosales; Rosaceae.